GUGCCAGCAGCCGCGGUAAUACGUAGGUGGCGAGCGUUGUCCGGAAUUAUUGGGCGUAAAGGGAGCGCAGGCGGUCUAAUAAGUCUGAUGUGAAAGGUCAUAGCUCAACUAUGGACGUGCAUCAGAAACUGUAAGACUUGAGUACUAGAGAGGGCAGUGGAACUCCAUGUGUAGCGGUGAAAUGCGUAGAUAUAUGGAAGAACAUCAGUGGCGAAGGCGGCUGUCUGGCUAGUAACUGACGUUCAUGCUCGAAAGCGUGGGUAGCAAACAGGAUUAGAUACCCUGGUAGUCCACGCCCUAAACGAUGACAAUUAGCUGUUGGGGUACUAGUUACCUUAGUAGCGAAGCUAACGCGUGAAAUUGUCCGCCUGGGGAGUACGGUCGCAAGAUUAAAACUCAAAGGAAUUGACGGGGACCCGCACAAGCGGUGGAUGAUGUGGAUUAA
RNAcentral lists this ribosomal RNA (445 nucleotides) under uncultured bacterium. Its description in RNAcentral is "bacterial SSU rRNA". It matches the Rfam family "Bacterial small subunit ribosomal RNA", at positions 505 to 949 of the family's 1533-position model. The record is from RNAcentral.